CUGAGAGGAUGACCAGCCACACUGGAACUGAGACACGGUCCAGACUCCUACGGGAGGCAGCAGUGGGGAAUAUUGCACAAUGGGCGCAAGCCUGAUGCAGCCAUGCCGCGUGUAUGAAGAAGGCCUUCGGGUUGUAAAGUACUUUCAGCGGGGAGGAAGGGAGUAAAGUUAAUACCUUUGCUCAUUGACGUUACCCGCAGAAGAAGCACCGGCUAACUCCGUGCCAGCAGCCGCGGUAAUACGGAGGGUGCAAGCGUUAAUCGGAAUUACUGGGCGUAAAGCGCACGCAGGCGGUUUGUUAAGUCAGAUGUGAAAUCCCCGGGCUCAACCUGGGAACUGCAUCUGAUACUGGCAAGCUUGAGUCUCGUAGAGGGGGGUAG
This 380-nucleotide ribosomal RNA is filed under the name Escherichia coli. RNAcentral's name for it is "bacterial SSU rRNA". It matches the Rfam family "Bacterial small subunit ribosomal RNA", at positions 292 to 664 of the family's 1533-position model. Lineage: Bacteria; Pseudomonadati; Pseudomonadota; Gammaproteobacteria; Enterobacterales; Enterobacteriaceae. The record is from RNAcentral.